This 226-nucleotide long non-coding RNA is filed under the name Vulpes vulpes (red fox). Its description in RNAcentral is "lncRNA (ENSVVUG00000012647.1)". Lineage: Eukaryota; Metazoa; Chordata; Mammalia; Carnivora; Canidae. The record is from RNAcentral.
CCCAUAUCUUCUCUGUUUCAGCUUCUUCAUUUGCAAAGUGAAUUCUACCCCCAAAGUUGUGAAUAUUAAGUCAAUACAUAUAAAAGCUGAGAACAGUGUCUAAGAUUCAUAUACUAUGUUACAGGUUUCACUUCUCCACAGUCCUUCAGAGCAGAGAACAUCAAGGAUGUAAUGUUUCAAGUAAGUAAAUGAGACCAUGCUAUCACUCCAGUCUGCUUUGGGAAAC